GCAUGAUCCGCUGGGCCCCCAGCGCAUCUCCUGGAAGAGCCCACUCACCCUGGACGAGCUCUUCGGUAGCCUCAGACCGUCCUUGAAGAGGAUGACUGAGACAUUAUGGGCCACGCGCUGUGUGUCUGCUCUCGGGGAACUGUCAUCAUUGACAAUAAGCGCUACCUCUUCAUCCAGAAACUGGGGGAGGGGUGAGUGUUUGGAAGUCAGUUAACUAGUCCUCAAGUUUAUGGUCAUUGAAGGACAGCGGUGUGCACAUGCUUGGGGCACAAGGGUUUUAUCCCCAUCCCUGUCCUCUCUCACCUGACAGAACCUAGCUACACAGUAUCAAGAAGGUGGAUUCUGGAGCCAGGCCUCCUAAAUCCACCUCGUGUGACCUUGAUAAACCAUGUUUUUUUCAUCAGCUUAAUGGAGAUGAUUAUUAUCCCUCACUGAUGGAGUUGUGAGGAUUAAAUGAGAUAAUGUGUAUAAAAUGUCUCACCCAAUGCCUGGUUGACAAGUACUUGAUAAGUGUUGGCUAUUAUUUAUUUAGCAUCUGUCAAGUGCAGAGGUCUCUAUUACGACCAUAGGACCUCAAAGAUUUCUAUAUCUCUGCUCCUGAGGAGCUCACGGUGUAAUAUUCUUCAGAUUUCUCUUAGAGCCACAUCUUGGGAAGGUUUCUGCUAAAUGGGAAGGACACCCCACUCACCACCAGGAAAUUUCUCUAGGUCCAAGCCAUGUGGGAGAUGACCAUGGCCCUUUAUUGACCCCUUUGGCCCACAGCGGGUUCAGCUAUGUGGACCUAGUGGAAGGGUUACAUGAUGGACACUUCUACGCCCUGAAGCGAAUCCUGUGUCACGAGCAGCAGGACCGGGAGGAGGCCCAGCGAGAAGCCGACAUGCAUCGCCUCUUCAAUCACCCCAACAUCCUUCGCCUCGUGGCUUACUGUCUGAGGGAACGGGGUGCUAAGCAUGAGGCCUGGCUGCUGCUACCAUUCUUCAAGAGAGGUACGCUGUGGAAUGAGAUAGAAAGGCUGAAGGACAAAGGCAACUUCCUGACCGAGGAUCAAAUCCUUUGGCUGCUGCUGGGGAUCUGCAGAGGCCUUGAGGCCAUUCAUGCCAAGGGUUAUGCCCACAGGGACUUGAAGCCCACCAAUAUAUUGCUUGGAGAUGAGGGGCAGCCAGUUUUAAUGGACUUGGGUUCCAUGAAUCAAGCAUGCAUCCAUGUGGAGGGCUCUCGCCAGGCUCUGACCCUGCAGGACUGGGCAGCCCAGCGGUGCACCAUCUCCUACCGAGCCCCAGAGCUCUUCUCUGUGCCGAGUCACUGUGUCAUCGAUGAGCGGACUGAUGUCUGGUCCCUAGGCUGCGUGCUAUAUGCCAUGAUGUUUGGGGAAGGCCCUUAUGACAUGGUGUUCCAAAAGGGUGACAGUGUGGCCCUUGCUGUGCAGAACCAACUCAGCAUCCCACAAAGCCCCAGGCAUUCUUCAGCAUUGCGGCAGCUCCUGAACUCGAUGAUGACCGUGGACCCGCAUCAGCGUCCUCACAUUCCUCUCCUCCUCAGUCAGCUGGAGGCGCUGCAGCCCCCAGCUCCUGGCCAACAUACUACCCAAAUCUGAAAAAGCAGCAUGUUGAGAAGAUGGCCCCUUGUGCCUUGGAAAGAGGUUCCCAUCCCUCAUUGGAAUCGCCACCCAUUCCAUCCAGGACUUCUCUUACACUUGGGGGUAGCGGGGUCAGGACAAUCAUCUCAGUCCUGCAUCUUUUCUUCUGCUUUCUUCCCUCCAAGAGCAAAACCUGGGCAAGGGGACUUACUGAGUGGGGGUGGGUGGGGGUUGGGAAAAGGGAAACUGGUGGGAUAUGGAACAUGGCUCUGAGCAGGACUGUUGAGCUCACAUAGUGUUCUGACUCCAAAUCUGGGAGCAGGAGAAUGUGUAAACAAGAAUAAAGUGGAAGCA
Molecule: small RNA, 1930 nt
Filed under: Pan troglodytes (chimpanzee)
Lineage: Eukaryota; Metazoa; Chordata; Mammalia; Primates; Hominidae
Description: retained intron
Source: RNAcentral